Long non-coding RNA from Homo sapiens (human), 720 nucleotides. Ensembl annotates it as maternally expressed 3. Its record names the gene MEG3. Lineage: Eukaryota; Metazoa; Chordata; Mammalia; Primates; Hominidae. The record is from Ensembl.
CUUCAACCCACUGCUUCCUGACUCGCUCUACUCCGUGGAAGCACGCUCACAAAGUUCCUGACCUGGCCAUCCCGGGGUGCCCUUGACCAGCCCCGUGUCUCCUCAGGGUGUCCCAGCACCAGCCUGGCACAGAGUGGGGCUCAGUUAGAGUAUGUGGGAUGUUGGUUUCGCCAGGCACGUGGGCCGUGGCCCGGCUGGGUCGGCUGAAGAACUGCGGAUGGAAGCUGCGGAAGAGGCCCUGAUGGGGCCCACCAUCCCGGACCCAAGUCUUCUUCCUGGCGGGCCUCUCGUCUCCUUCCUGGUUUGGGCGGAAGCCAUCACCUGGAUGCCUACGUGGGAAGGGACCUCGAAUGUGGGACCCCAGCCCCUCUCCAGCUCGAAAUCCCUCCACAGCCACGGGGACACCCUGCACCUAUUCCCACGGGACAGGCUGGACCCAGAGACUCUGGACCCGGGGCCUCCCCUUGAGUAGAGACCCGCCCUCUGACUGAUGGACGCCGCUGACCUGGGGUCAGACCCGUGGGCUGGACCCCUGCCCACCCCGCAGGAACCCUGAGGCCUAGGGGAGCUGUUGAGCCUUCAGUGUCUGCAUGUGGGAAGUGGGCUCCUUCACCUACCUCACAGGGCUGUUGUGAGGGGCGCUGUGAUGCGGUUCCAAAGCACAGGGCUUGGCGCACCCCACUGUGCUCUCAAUAAAUGUGUUUCCUGUCUUAACAAAAA